Molecule: ribosomal RNA, 460 nt
Filed under: uncultured bacterium
Lineage: Bacteria
Description: partial 16S ribosomal RNA
Rfam family: Bacterial small subunit ribosomal RNA
Source: RNAcentral
CCUACGGGUGGCAGCAGUGAGGAAUAUUGGUCAAUGGACGCAAGUCUGAACCAGCCAAGCCGCGUGCAGGAUGAAGGCUCUAUGAAUUGUAAACCGCUUUUGUACGAGGGUAAACACCGAUACGUGUAUCGGGUUGAAAGUAUCGUACGAAUAAGGAUCGGCUAACUCCGUGCCAGCAGCCGCGGUAAUACGGAGGAUGCGAGCGUUAUCCGGAUUUAUUGGGUUUAAAGGGUGCGUAGGCGGUUUGAUAAGUUAGCGGUGAAAUGUCGGGGCUCAACCCCGGAACUGCCUCUAAUACUGGUGGACUAGAGAUUAGGUGCGGUAGGCGGAAUGUACGGUGUAGCGGUGAAAUGCUUAGAGAUCAUACAGAACACCGAUUGCGAAGGCAGCUUACCAAACUAUAUCUGACGUUGAGGCACGAAAGCGUGGGUAUCGAACAGGAUUAGAUACCCUAGUAGUC